RNAcentral lists this ribosomal RNA (898 nucleotides) under Pochonia chlamydosporia var. catenulata. Its description in RNAcentral is "LSU rRNA". It matches the Rfam family "Eukaryotic large subunit ribosomal RNA", at positions 38 to 964 of the family's 3401-position model. Lineage: Eukaryota; Fungi; Ascomycota; Sordariomycetes; Hypocreales; Clavicipitaceae. The record is from RNAcentral.
GCAUAUCAAUAAGCGGAGGAAAAGAAACCAACAGGGAUUGCCCCAGUAACGGCGAGUGAAGCGGCAACAGCUCAAAUUUGAAAUCUGGCCCCUAGGGCCCGAGUUGUAAUUUGCAGAGGAUGCUUUUGGCGAGGUGCCUUCCGAGUUCCCUGGAACGGGACGCCAUAGAGGGUGAGAGCCCCGUCUGGUUGGAUGCCGAGCCUCUGUAAAGCUCCUUCGACGAGUCGAGUAGUUUGGGAAUGCUGCUCUAAAUGGGAGGUAUAUGUCUUCUAAAGCUAAAUACCGGCCAGAGACCGAUAGCGCACAAGUAGAGUGAUCGAAAGAUGAAAAGCACUUUGAAAAGAGGGUUAAAUAGUACGUGAAAUUGUUGAAAGGGAAGCACUUAUGACCAGACUUGGACCCGGUGAAUCAUCCAGCGUUCUCGCUGGUGCACUUUGCCGGGCUCAGGCCAGCAUCAGUUUGCCUCGGGGGAUAAAGGCUUUGGGAAUGUGGCUCCCUCGGGAGUGUUAUAGCCCAUUGCACAAUACCCUGGGGCGGACUGAGGUUCGCGCAUCUGCAAGGAUGCUGGCGUAAUGGUCAUCAGUGACCCGUCUUGAAACACGGACCAAGGAGUCGUCUUCGUAUGCGAGUGUUCGGGUGUAAAACCCCUACGCGUAAUGAAAGUGAACGCAGGUGAGAGCUUCGGCGCAUCAUCGACCGAUCCUGAUGUUCUCGGAUGGAUUUGAGUAAGAGCAUACGGGGCCGGACCCGAAAGAAGGUGAACUAUGCCUGUAUAGGGUGAAGCCAGAGGAAAACUCUGGUGGAGGCUCGCAGCGGUUCUGACGUGCAAAUCGAUCGUCAAAUAUGGGCAUGGGGGGCGAAAGACUAAUCGAACCUUCUAGUAGCUGGUUUCCGCCGA